This 759-nucleotide ribosomal RNA is filed under the name Psychrobacter aestuarii. RNAcentral describes it as "bacterial SSU rRNA". It matches the Rfam family "Bacterial small subunit ribosomal RNA", at positions 79 to 835 of the family's 1533-position model. The record is from RNAcentral. Lineage: Bacteria; Pseudomonadati; Pseudomonadota; Gammaproteobacteria; Moraxellales; Moraxellaceae.
GCUACCAGAUGACGAGCGGCGGACGGGUGAGUAAUGCUUAGGAAUCUACCUAGUAGUGGGGGAUAGCUCGGGGAAACUCGAAUUAAUACCGCAUACGUCCUACGGGAGAAAGCAGGGGAUCUUUGGACCUUGCGCUAUUAGAUGAGCCUAAGUCGGAUUAGCUAGUUGGUGGGGUAAAGGCCUACCAAGGCGACGAUCUGUAGCUGGUCUGAGAGGAUGAUCAGCCACACUGGGACUGAGACACGGCCCAGACUCCUACGGGAGGCAGCAGUGGGGAAUAUUGGACAAUGGGGGGAACCCUGAUCCAGCCAUGCCGCGUGUGUGAAGAAGGCCUUUUGGUUGUAAAGCACUUUAAGCAGUGAAGAAGAAGUUAUGGUUAAUACCCAUAAUGGAUGACAUUAGCUGCAGAAUAAGCACCGGCUAACUCUGUGCCAGCAGCCGCGGUAAUACAGAGGGUGCGAGCGUUAAUCGGAAUUACUGGGCGUAAAGCGAGCGUAGGUGGCUUAAUAAGUCAGAUGUGAAAUCCCCGGGCUUAACCUGGGAACUGCAUCUGAAACUGUUCGGCUAGAGUAGGUGAGAGGGAAGUAGAAUUCCAGGUGUAGCGGUGAAAUGCGUAGAGAUCUGGAGGAAUACCGAUGGCGAAGGCAGCUUCCUGGCAUCAUACUGACACUGAGGUUCGAAAGCGUGGGUAGCAAACAGGAUUAGAUACCCUGGUAGUCCACGCCGUAAACGAUGUCUACUAGUCGUUGGGUCCCUUGA